GUCCACGCCCUAAACGAUGAUCACUCGCUGUUGGCGAUACACUGUCAGCGGCUAAGCGAAAGCGUUAAGUGAUCCACCUGGGGAGUACGACCGCAAGGUUGAAACUCAAAGGAAUUGACGGGGGCCCGCACAAGCGGAGGAGCAUGUGGUUUAAUUCGAUGAUACGCGAGGAACCUUACCAGGGCUUGAAAGUUAGUGAUCGUCUGUGAAAGCAGAUUUUCCGCAAGGACACGAAACUAGGUGCUGCAUGGCUGUCGU
This 258-nucleotide ribosomal RNA is filed under the name uncultured bacterium. RNAcentral describes it as "partial 16S ribosomal RNA". It matches the Rfam family "Bacterial small subunit ribosomal RNA", at positions 793 to 1055 of the family's 1533-position model. The record is from RNAcentral.